UGAGGAAUAUUGGUCAAUGGGCGGAAGCCUGAACCAGCCAAGUCGCGUGAGGGAAGGCGGUCCUAUGGAUUGUAAACCUCUUUUGCAGGGGAGCAAGACGUGGUACGUGUACCGUGCUGGAGAGUACCCUGAGAAAAAGGCAUCGGCUAACUCCGUGCCAGCAACCGCGGUAAUACGGAGGAUGCGAGCGUUAUCCGGAUUUAUUGGGUUUAAAGGGUGCGUAGGCGGACUGGUAAGUCAGCGGUAAAAAUUGCGGUGCUCAACGCCGUAGUGCCGUUGAAACUGCCGGUCUUGAGUGAGCGAGAAGUAUGCGGAAUGCGUGGUGUAGCGGUGAAAUGCAUAGAUAUCACGCAGAACUCCGAUUGCGAAGGCAGCAUACCGGCGCUCAACUGACGCUGAGGCACGAAAGCGUGGGGGAUCGAACAGGAUUAGAUACC
RNAcentral lists this ribosomal RNA (437 nucleotides) under uncultured bacterium. RNAcentral's name for it is "bacterial SSU rRNA". It matches the Rfam family "Bacterial small subunit ribosomal RNA", at positions 355 to 786 of the family's 1533-position model. The record is from RNAcentral.